This 429-nucleotide ribosomal RNA is filed under the name Chloroflexota bacterium. Its description in RNAcentral is "Chloroflexi bacterium partial 16S ribosomal RNA". It matches the Rfam family "Bacterial small subunit ribosomal RNA", at positions 355 to 776 of the family's 1533-position model. Lineage: Bacteria; Bacillati; Chloroflexota. The record is from RNAcentral.
UGGGGAAUAUUGCACAAUGGGCGCAAGCCUGAUGCAGCCAUGCCGCGUGUAUGAAGAAGGCCUUCGGGUUGUAAAGUACUUUCAGCGGGGAGGAAGGGAGUAAAGUUAAUACCUUUGCUCAUUGACGUUACCCGCAGAAGAAGCACCGGCUAACUCCGUGCCAGCAGCCGCGGUAAUACGGAGGGUGCAAGCGUUAAUCGGAAUUACUGGGCGUAAAGCGCACGCAGGCGGUUUGUUAAGUCAGAUGUGAAAUCCCCGGGCUCAACCUGGGAACUGGAUCUAAUACUGGCAGGCUAGAGUCUUGUAGAGGGGGGUAGAAUUCCAGGUGUAGCGGUGAAAUGCGUAGAGACCUGGAGGAAUACCGGUGGCGAAGGCGGCCCCCUGGACAAAGACUGACGAUCAGGUGCGAAAGCGUGGGGAGCAAACAGG